This 2331-nucleotide ribosomal RNA is filed under the name seawater metagenome. Its description in RNAcentral is "bacterial LSU rRNA". It matches the Rfam family "Bacterial large subunit ribosomal RNA", at positions 14 to 2379 of the family's 2925-position model. The record is from RNAcentral.
AGCGUACACGGUGGAUGCCUUGGCAGCCAGAGGCGAUGAAGGACGUAGUAGCCUGCGAUAAGCUUCGGGGAGUCGGCAAACAGACUUUGAUCCGGAGAUUUCCGAAUGGGGAAACCCACCUGUCAUAAGGCAGGUAUCACAUACUGAAUCCAUAGGUAUGUGAGGCGAACGCGGGGAACUGAAACAUCUAAGUACCCGUAGGAACAGAAAUCAAUUGAGAUUCCGUUAGUAGCGGCGAGCGAACGCGGAUUAGCCCUUAAGCUUGUGAAUGAUUAGGAGAACGGUCUGGGAAGGCCGGCCAUAGUGGGUGAUAGCCCCGUAUCCGAAAGUCUGAUCAAGUGAAAUCGAGUAGGUCGGAGCACGUGAAACUUUGACUGAAUGUGGGGGGACCAUCCUCCAAGGCUAAAUACUCCUGGCUGACCGAUAGUGAACCAGUACCGUGAGGGAAAGGCGAAAAGAACCCCGGAGAGGGGAGUGAAAUAGAACCUGAAACCGUGUACGUACAAGCAGUCGGAGCCUCCAUGUGGGGUGACGGCGUACCUUUUGUAUAAUGGGUCAGCGACUUAAUUUCAGUAGCGAGGUUAACCGUUUAGGGGAGCCGUAGGGAAACCGAGUCUUAAUAGGGCGUUUAGUUGCUGGGAUUAGACCCGAAACCGGGCGAUCUAUCCAUGGGCAGGUUGAAGAUGCGGUAACACGCAUUGGAGGACCGAACCGACUACCGUUGAAAAGUUAGCGGAUGACCUGUGGAUCGGAGUGAAAGGCUAAUCAAGCUCGGAGAUAGCUGGUUCUCCCCGAAAGCUAUUUAGGUAGCGCCUCGGACGAAUACCACUGGGGGUAGAGCACUGUUAAGGCUAGGGGGUCAUCCCGACUUACCAACCCUUUGCAAACUCCGAAUACCAGUGAGUACUAUCCGGGAGACACACGGCGGGUGCUAACGUCCGUCGUGAAGAGGGAAACAACCCAGACCGCCAGCUAAGGUCCCCAAAUUCCAGUUAAGUGGGAAACGAUGUGGGAAGGCUCAGACAGCUAGGAGGUUGGCUUAGAAGCAGCCACCCUUUAAAGAAAGCGUAAUAGCUCACUAGUCGAGUCGGCCUGCGCGGAAGAUGUAACGGGGCUCAAACUGGUUACCGAAGCUGCGGCUGUGCACGCAAGUGCACGGGGUAGGGGAGCGUUCUGUAAGCCUGCGAAGGUGUGUCGAGAGGCAUGCUGGAGGUAUCAGAAGUGCGAAUGCUGACAUGAGUAACGACAAUGGGGGUGAAAAACCCCCACGCCGGAAGACCAAGGGUUCCUGCGCAACGCUAAUCGGCGCAGGGUGAGUCGGCCCCUAAGGCGAGACCGAAAGGUGUAGUCGAUGGGAAACGGAUUAAUAUUUCCGUACCUUGGAUAGCUGCGAUGGAGAGACGGAGAAGGCUAGGUGAGCCGGGCGACGGUUGUCCCGGUUUAAGCAUGUAGGCAGUGGGAUUAGGCAAAUCCGGUCCCACAAUGCCGAGACGCGACGACGACUGCCCUUUUAGGGCGGGAAGUCAUUGAUGCCCUGCUUCCAGGAAAAUCUUCUAAGCUUCAGGCUAUUCGAGACCGUACCCCAAACCGACACAGGUGGUCAGGUAGAGAAUACCAAGGCGCUUGAGAGAACUCGGGUAAAGGAACUAGGCAAAAUGGUGCCGUAACUUCGGGAGAAGGCACGCCGGUGGUAUGUGACGCCCUUCGCGGGUUGAGCAGAAGCCGGUCGAAGAUACCAGGCCCCUGCGACUGUUUAUUAAAAACACAGCACUGUGCAAACACGAAAGUGGACGUAUACGGUGUGACGCCUGCCCGGUGCCGGAAGGUUAAUUGAUGGGGUUAGCGCUUGCGCGAAGCUCUUGAUCGAAGCCCCGGUAAACGGCGGCCGUAACUAUAACGGUCCUAAGGUAGCGAAAUUCCUUGUCGGGUAAGUUCCGACCUGCACGAAUGGCGUAACGACGGCCACACUGUCUCCACCCGAGACUCAGUGAAAUUGAAAUUGCGGUUAAGAUGCCGUAUACCCGCGGCUAGACGGAAAGACCCCGUGAACCUUUACUAUAGCUUCACAGUGAACUUUGAAUUGGCUUGUGUAGGAUAGCUGGGAGGCUUUGAAGCGGUGACGCCAGUCAUCGUGGAGCCAACCUUGAAAUACCAGCCUGGUCAAUUUGGGGUUCUAACUCAGGUCCAUUAUCUGGAUCGAGGACACUGUGUGGUGGGUAGUUUGACUGGGGCGGUCUCCUCCCAAAGAGUAACGGAGGAGCACGAAGGUCGGCUAAUCUUGGUCGGACAUCAAGAGGUUAGUGCAAUGGCAUAAGCCGGCUUAACUGCGAG